ACAGUUCCAUGAAGCCACAGGAACUGAUUAGAAGGGCGGCCAGAGCCUGGUGCCGUUUAUCCGAGGAAAAAAAAAAUAUAUACCGGCGCAUGGCAUAAAAGACGCAAAGUGUGCAAUCCUGAAAAAUGCGAGAAAUCUUAGGUGGCUCAUCUAAGUCUUCUUCAAUCAAUCCCCGUCUUCUGGCCCCUGCUAAUUUUGAUGAGCUAUGGUGGCUCAUCUAAGUCGUCUUCAAUCAAUCCCUGUCUUCUGCCCUCGGCUAAUUUUGAUCUGAAAAAUUAAGGUUUAGGUUUCCAAAACAGUCUAUAUUAUUAAUAAAGCAUAAAUUAUUUUUUCGGCC
Molecule: non-coding RNA, 337 nt
Organism: Drosophila bipectinata
Lineage: Eukaryota; Metazoa; Arthropoda; Insecta; Diptera; Drosophilidae
Source: RefSeq, a predicted model, not a curated record